RNAcentral lists this transfer RNA (72 nucleotides) under Rhipicephalus sanguineus (brown dog tick). Its description in RNAcentral is "transfer RNA threonine (anticodon CGU)". It matches the Rfam family "tRNA". Rfam says of the family: Transfer RNA (tRNA) molecules are approximately 80 nucleotides in length. The record is from Rfam by way of RNAcentral. Lineage: Eukaryota; Metazoa; Arthropoda; Arachnida; Ixodida; Ixodidae.
GCCGCCGUAGCUCAGUGGUAGAGCGUCGGACUCGUUAUUCGAUGGUCGCAGGUUCGGUCCCUGCCGGCGGCA